UACGGAGGGUGCAAGCGUUGUCCGGAAUCACUGGGCGUAAAGGGCGCGUAGGCGGCUCAUGAAGGCUGUGGUGAAAGUCCGGGGCUCAACCUCGGAUCGGCCGUGGCGACUCGUGGGCUGGAGCACUGUAGAGGCGGGUGGAAUUCCGGGUGUAGCGGUGGAAUGCGUAGAUAUCAAGUGGAACACCAGUGGCGAAGGCGAGUCCCUGGACAUUUCCUGACACUGAGGCACGAAAGCUAGGGGAGCAAACAGG
RNAcentral lists this ribosomal RNA (253 nucleotides) under uncultured bacterium. Its description in RNAcentral is "partial 16S ribosomal RNA". It matches the Rfam family "Bacterial small subunit ribosomal RNA", at positions 524 to 776 of the family's 1533-position model. The record is from RNAcentral.